GACGAACCGUGCGAACGUUAUUCGGAAUCACUGGGCUUAAAGCGCGUGUAGGCGGGCCGGCACGUCGGUGCCUGAAAGCCCCCGGCUCAACCGGGGAAGCGGGGCCGAUACGGCCGGCCUGGAGGGGCGUAGGGGGACCUGGAACUUCCGGUGGAGCGGUGAAAUGCGUUGAGAUCGGAAGGAACGCCCGUGGCGAAAGCGAGGUCCUGGACGCCUGCUGACGCUGAGACGCGAAAGCCAGGGUAGCGAACGGGAUUAGAUACCCCGGUAGUCCUGGCCGUAAACGAUGGGCACUGGGUAGGGGGCUCGCCGAUGGGCUCCCUGCCGCAGCGAAAGCGUGAAGUGCCCCGCCUGGGGAGUAUGGUCGCAAGGCUGAA
RNAcentral lists this ribosomal RNA (377 nucleotides) under uncultured bacterium. RNAcentral describes it as "bacterial SSU rRNA". It matches the Rfam family "Bacterial small subunit ribosomal RNA", at positions 524 to 898 of the family's 1533-position model. The record is from RNAcentral.